CAGCAUAAGCGAUGUACCAAACUAAAACUUGGUACUGUGUUAAAUGGUAGCAGUAGACAUCAAGGACUUCCUUAAUGGCGUUGAAAUUCAAGAGGCGAGAGCUCCAAGUAGCGUUCCUAAGCAUCGUCCAUAGAUCAUGUGGCGCUUUUAUGACUGAGGAAAUGACAGUCCUUUGGCCGAAGCAUUCUGGAAUUGCAGAUUCUGAGUAACAAUAAGAUAUCCGAGCUGAAGAAUGGCUCAUUUUCUGGGUUAAGUCUCCUUGAAAGAUUGGACCUCCGAAACAAUCUUAUUAGUAGUAUAGAUCCAGGUGCCUUCUGGGGACUGUCAUCUCUAAAAAGAUUGGAUCUGACAAACAAUCGAAUAGGAUGUCUGAAUGCAGACAUAUUUCGAGGACUCACCAAUCUGGUUCGGCUAAACCUUUCGGGGAAUUUGUUUUCUUCAUUAUCUCAAGGAACUUUUGAUUAUCUUGCGUCAUUACGGUCUUU
RNAcentral lists this long non-coding RNA (485 nucleotides) under Homo sapiens (human). Its description in RNAcentral is "non-protein coding lnc-KCNIP4-3:3". Lineage: Eukaryota; Metazoa; Chordata; Mammalia; Primates; Hominidae. The record is from RNAcentral.